Rosa chinensis is the source of this 1933-nucleotide RNA transcript. It is a transcript of the gene named cytochrome P450 704C1, with no coding region annotated. The record is from RefSeq and is a predicted model, not a curated record. The transcript is spliced from 6 exons. NCBI's taxonomy places the organism in Eukaryota, Viridiplantae, Streptophyta, Magnoliopsida, Rosales, Rosaceae.
AGAAAAAUUGUAAACCAUACGUUUGUGUUUUUCCAUACAACUCAACUAUAACAAUCCAAAACUCUGUUUCACUCUCUCUAUGCUAGCUUCCUCUGCCUCCCAUCACCUUAAACAGAUAUGGGGUUCCUAUACUUCAUCUGCACCUUCAUAUUUUCAGUACUCUCUCUUUUCCUAGCCUUCUUCUCUUUCCUCACACUCAGAAUCUUCAGAGGCAAAUCCAUCGGAGACCGAAACUAUGCACCAGUGAAAGGCACAGUCUUUCACCAGCUCUACUACUACAAAAAACUCUAUGACUACCAAACCCGAGUGGCCAGAGGAACCCCAACUCACCGGAUUCUGGCUCCGGACCUGAGUUUCAUAUACACAACCGACUCAAGAAACAUCGAACAUGUUGUCAAUACCAACUUUGCACAUUAUUCAAAAGGCGUGAUAAGUCAGGAAAUCAUGUGUGAUGUUUUUGGGAAAGGGAUAUUUAAUGUUGAUGGAGAAAAGUGGAAACACCAGAGGAAGCUUGCAAGCUAUGAGUUCUCAACCAGGGUUCUUAGAGAUUUCAGCUGUUCUGUGUUUAGAAGAAGUGCUGCAAAAUUGGUGAAAUUUUUUUUUGAGUUUUCGGAUUCAAACGGGAUUUUUGAUAUGCAGGACUUGCUUAUGAGGUGUACCAUGGAUUCCAUAUUCAAAGUUGGGUUUGGAGUAGAACUAAAUUGCUUGGAAGGGUCAAGCAAAGAAGGGAUAGAAUUCAUGAAGGCCUUUGAUGAGUCGACUGCUCUAACCUCUUGGCGCUUUGUUGAUCCCCUCUGGAAAUUGAAAAGGUUUCUCAACAUUGGUUCUGAGGCCACCCUUAAAAAGUACGUCAAAGUCAUACGUGAUUUUGUGCACCAACUUAUCAAGAGCAAGAGGGAAUUGCUAGCUGGCCAGAAACAUGGUGAUGAUAAGGAGGACAUUGUCUCACGGUUUCUGUUGGAGAGUGAAAAGAAUCCAGAGGAGAUGAAAGAUAAAUAUCUAAGUGAUAUAAUUCUGAAUUUUAUGAUUGCUGGGAAAGAUACAAGUGCAAAUACACUAUCAUGGUUCUUCUACAUGCUCAGCAAGAACCCUCUAAUACAGGAAAAAGCUUCACAAGAAGUUAGGGAUGUUGUCGGUCUGAAUCAUGAAGCUAAUGUCGAUGAAUUUGUGGCCAGUAUAACUGAUGCAACUCUUGAACAAAUGCAUUAUCUUCAUGCAACACUAACAGAGACCUUGAGGCUAUACCCUGCAGUUCCUGUGGAUGGUAGACAUGCAAUGAUAGAUGACAUUCUUCCUGAUGGUUUUAAAGUGAAAAAAGGAGAUGGAGUAUACUAUAUGGCCUAUGCCAUGGGCAGGAUGCCUUAUAUUUGGGGAAAAGAUGCAGAGGAUUUCCGACCUGAAAGAUGGCUCAAGGAUGGAAUUUUCCAGGCUGAAUCACCUUUCAAAUUUGUCGCUUUUUAUGCUGGUCCUCGGAUCUGUCUAGGGAAGGACUUUGCCUACCGGCAGAUGAAGAUAGUAGCAAUGGCUCUUCUUUACUUCUUCCGCUUCAAAUUGGCCGAUGAAGGAAAAGAAGUGAACUACAGGACCACGUUCACCCUUCACAUUGAUGGCAGUCUCCCCAUGCUUGCAGUUCGAAGGACAAUGGACUCAUACAAGUAAAUCGAUCGCAUUUGUACAGUUGAAUCUCACCUGUAUUCUGAGAUGUAGACAAUCUACAAUGCGAAGGUGGAUUAGGGUAAUUAGCUGUUUUUGGUUGUUUUGGUGAACACGUUAGCUAACCAUGAUAAGAAGGAAAAACAGACGGCAAAGGGAGAUAACCGAGAGACGCAAGAAUAUUUGGUAGAGUCUUGCAUGUUCGCUUGAGAUUGAGUCCUCACAAAGAGUCAAAACACUUGAUCCAUGUAUAAGUGUUUGUGAUCAUAGUUUCAUAUGA